RNAcentral lists this ribosomal RNA (253 nucleotides) under uncultured bacterium. RNAcentral's name for it is "partial 16S ribosomal RNA". It matches the Rfam family "Bacterial small subunit ribosomal RNA", at positions 524 to 776 of the family's 1533-position model. The record is from RNAcentral.
UACGUAGGUGGCAAGCGUUGUCCGGAUUUAUUGGGCGUAAAGCGCGCGCAGGCGGUUUCUUAAGUCUGAUGUGAAAGCCCUCGGCUUAACCGAGGAGGGUCAUUGGAAACUGAGAGACUUGAGUGCAGAAGAGGAAAGUGGAAUUCCAAGUGUAGCGGUGAAAUGCGUAGAGAUUUGGAGGAACACCAGUGGCGAAGGCGACUUUCUGGUCUGUAACUGACGCUGAGGCGCGAAAGCGUGGGGAGCAAACAGG